CUUUCACCUUCUGCCAUGAUUGUGGGAGGCCUCUCCAGCCACGUGGAACCGCUGCAGUGUGUUCUACUGAAUGCAUGUACCAUAAUUUACUUAAUUAUCUGGGCUGAUUCUGAAUUUCUAUUAUGAACAAAGCCACACCAUGAAAAUGUGCCACUCAGAUCUGCUGCUGAGCACAUAAUUAACUGAUCACCCAGCUACUGUACGCUGAAUCCACCACUUCCUUCACUCUGAGGCCAUACUUCCCACAUGCUGCUUUUGGCCAGUAGCUGAAUAUUGCAGGGCUCUAAAGUGAUCAGACAUACGUCACUGGCUGUCAGGUCUUCCAAAGUCCCUAGCUCUGUGGCAGGCAGUGUCUGAGACAGCCUCUACCUCCUGGUAACCAUAUCCUUGUGUAAC
Long non-coding RNA from Symphalangus syndactylus (siamang), 396 nucleotides. RefSeq lists it as uncharacterized. The record is from RefSeq and is a predicted model, not a curated record. Lineage: Eukaryota; Metazoa; Chordata; Mammalia; Primates; Hylobatidae.